UUAAUUGCGCAAUAUCGUACCCAAUGAAGGUCUCCUGAGGUGGGAUUAUUGCUAGUUGAAAACUUUUACCAACUACCAACCAAUUUUAGUAAUGGAUUUUUUGUUUUGUAUUAAA
Molecule: small nuclear RNA, 115 nt
Filed under: Rhodnius prolixus
Lineage: Eukaryota; Metazoa; Arthropoda; Insecta; Hemiptera; Reduviidae
Description: U4 spliceosomal RNA
Rfam family: U4 spliceosomal RNA
About the family: U4 small nuclear RNA (U4 snRNA) is a component of the major U2-dependent spliceosome. The structure of U4 snRNA from yeast and human has been reported. U4 snRNA presents a k-turn RNA motif in the 5p-SL related to recognition of Snu13 protein.
Source: Rfam by way of RNAcentral